Molecule: ribosomal RNA, 440 nt
Filed under: uncultured bacterium
Lineage: Bacteria
Description: partial 16S ribosomal RNA
Rfam family: Bacterial small subunit ribosomal RNA
Source: RNAcentral
CCUACGGGUGGCAGCAGUGGGGAAUAUUGCACAAUGGGGGAAACCAUGAUCCAGCGACGCCGCGUGAACGAUGAAGUAUUUCGGUAUGUAAAGCUCUAUUAUCCGGGAAGAAAAUGACGGUACCUUACUAAGAAGCCCCUGCUAACUACGUGCCAGCAGCCGCGAUAAUACGGAGGGGGCACGCGUUAUCCGGAUUUACUGGGUUUAAAGGGAGCGUAGACGGUUCUGGAAGCCAGGUGGUAAAGCCCGGGGCUGAACCGCAGGAGUGCAGUUGAAACUGUAAGGCUAGAGUGUAGGAGAGGUAGGCGGAAUGCGUGGUGUAGCGGUGAAAUGCGUAGAUAUGAGGAAGAACACCAGUUGCGAAGGCAGCUUGCUGGACGAUGACUGACGUUGAGGCUCGAAAGCGUGGGGAUCAAACAGGAUUAGAUACCCUGGUAGUC